AACGCAUCUUACACUCUCUGGUAUUCCGGAGAGUAUGUCUGUUUGAGUGUCAUGAAUUCUUCAACCCUCCCUUUUCUUAGUGAAUUGAGAGGAGUUUGGAUUCUGAGUGUUGCUCCUAACCCGAGCUCAUUCGUAAUAUAUUAGCAUCCAUAUUCGACUUCGGAUUGACUUGGCGUAAUAGACUAUUCGCUGAGGAAUCUAACUUCGGUUAGAGCCGUUUUUGAACUAGGAAGCUGCUAAUCUAGCUUAGUCUACCUUUAGAUUAGAUCUCAAAUCAGAUAGGAUUACCCGCUGAACUUAA
RNAcentral lists this unclassified non-coding RNA (301 nucleotides) under Candelaria sp. RNAcentral's name for it is "partial contains 5.8S ribosomal RNA, internal transcribed spacer 2, and large subunit ribosomal RNA". Lineage: Eukaryota; Fungi; Ascomycota; Candelariomycetes; Candelariales; Candelariaceae. The record is from RNAcentral.